This is a non-coding RNA of Triticum aestivum (bread wheat), 126 nucleotides long. The record is from Rfam. Lineage: Eukaryota; Viridiplantae; Streptophyta; Magnoliopsida; Poales; Poaceae.
UACGUACUCCCUCCGUCCGAAAAAGAUUGUCCUUCAAAUGGAUGUAUCUAACAUCAAGUUAUUGCUAGAUACAUCCAUUUGAGAGACAAACUUGUGACAAGUUUUUUUAAACGAAGGGAGUACCAA